This 820-nucleotide ribosomal RNA is filed under the name uncultured bacterium. RNAcentral's name for it is "bacterial SSU rRNA". It matches the Rfam family "Bacterial small subunit ribosomal RNA", at positions 8 to 815 of the family's 1533-position model. The record is from RNAcentral.
AGAGUUUGAUCCUGGCUCAGGAUGAACGCUAGCGACAGGCUUAACACAUGCAAGUCGAGAGGGCAGCGGGAGGCGUAGCAAUAUGCCUGCCGGCGACCGACGCACGGAGUGAGUAACACGUAUGUAACCUGCCCUAUGCAGGGGGAUAACCCGGAGAAAUCCGGCCUAAUACCGCGUAACACCUUAGGGGAGCAUUCUCUUGAGGUUAAAGGAGAGAUCCGGCAUAGGAUGGACAUGCGUCGCAUUAGGUAGACGGCGGGGUAACGGCCCACCGUGCCGACGAUGCGUAGGGGUUCUGAGAGGAAGGCCCCCCACACUGGUACUGAGACACGGACCAGACUCCUACGGGAGGCAGCAGUGAGGAAUAUUGGUCAAUGGCUGAGAGGCUGAACCAGCCAAGUCGCGUGAGGGAAGAAUGUCCUAAGGAUUGUAAACCUCUUUUGUCGGGGAGCAAAAAGGCUCUGCGGAGUCGUAUUGAGAGUACCCGAAGAAAAAGCAUCGGCUAACUCCGUGCCAGCAGCCGCGGUAAUACGGAGGAUGCGAGCGUUAUCCGGAUUUAUUGGGUUUAAAGGGUGCGCAGGCGGCGUGUCAAGCAAGCGGUAAAAUAGCGGGGCUCAACCCCGUCGAGCCGUUUGAACUGGCGCGCUUGAGUUCAGGCGAGGUAGGCGGAAUUCGUGGUGUAGCGGUGAAAUGCAUAGAUAUCACGAAGAACUCCGAUUGCGAAGGCAGCUUACCAGUCUGCGACUGACGCUCAGGCACGAAAGUGUGGGUAUCGAACAGGAUUAGAUACCCUGGUAGUCCACACAGUAAACGAUGAGCG